AAUCAAUUAAUGGAUCCCAUCAAAGUUGCUAUUGAUCUUGUAGAGCAGUGUUUCCCAAACUUUCAACAUCUGUAUACCCCUUUUAUAAUUUUCAUAACAUUGAGUACCUCUUUAAAAAAAAUUACAUAUACUUUAGUAACAAUUAAAGUAUAUGCAGUUUCUUUUUAUGAGAUCAUAGGAUGGAAGAAUGUGCAGAAUCACAGCACCCGGUGAUGCCAUGGUUACACAAUACAUACAAAACCACACAUACACAAUACUAACAAAUAACGAAGUUUUUUAUUAUUUUUCUAUAUUUGUAUUCGAAAAAAGUAAACUGCUUGAUGCACAGGCAGAGUCAAAGCCCGGUGCAGC
Molecule: long non-coding RNA, 351 nt
Filed under: Androctonus crassicauda
Lineage: Eukaryota; Metazoa; Arthropoda; Arachnida; Scorpiones; Buthidae
Source: RNAcentral